Molecule: ribosomal RNA, 498 nt
Filed under: uncultured bacterium
Lineage: Bacteria
Description: partial 16S ribosomal RNA
Rfam family: Bacterial small subunit ribosomal RNA
Source: RNAcentral
GGAUGAACGCUGGCGGCGUGCCUAAUACAUGCAAGUCGAGCGAACAGACGAGGAGCUUGCUCCUCUGACGUUAGCGGCGGACGGGUGAGUAACACGUGGAUAACCUACCUAUAAGACUGGGAUAACUUCGGGAAACCGGAGCUAAUACCGGAUAAUAUAUUGAACCGCAUGGUUCAAUAGUGAAAGACGGUUUUGCUGUCACUUAUAGAUGGAUCCGCGCCGCGUUAGCUAGUUGGUAAGGUAACGGCUUACCAAGGCAACGAUGCGUAGCCGACCUGAGAGGGUGAUCGGCCACACUGGAACUGAGACACGGUCCAGACUCCUACGGGAGGCAGCAGUAGGGAAUCUUCCGCAAUGGGCGAAAGCCUGACGGAGCAACGCCGCGUGAGUGAUGAAGGUCUUCGGAUCGUAAAACUCUGUUAUUAGGGAAGAACAAAUGUGUAAGUAACUAUGCACGUCUUGACGGUACCUAAUCAGAAAGCCACGGCUAACUACGUG